Molecule: ribosomal RNA, 481 nt
Filed under: uncultured bacterium
Lineage: Bacteria
Description: partial 16S ribosomal RNA
Rfam family: Bacterial small subunit ribosomal RNA
Source: RNAcentral
GAUGAACGCUGGCGGCGUGCUUAACACAUGCAAGUCGAACGAAGCACUUUAUUUGAUUUCCUUCGGGACUGAUUAUUUUGUGACUGAGUGGCGGACGGGUGAGUAACGCGUGGGUAACCUGCCUUGUACAGGGGGAUAACAGUUGGAAACGGCUGCUAAUACCGCAUAAGCGCACAGCAUCGCAUGAUGCAGUGUGAAAAACUCCGGUGGUAUAAGAUGGACCCGCGUUGGAUUAGCUAGUUGGUGAGGUAACGGCCCACCAAGGCGACGAUCCAUAGCCGACCUGAGAGGGUGACCGGCCACAUUGGGACUGAGACACGGCCCAAACUCCUACGGGAAGCAGCAGUGGGGAAUAUUGCACAAUGGGCGAAAGCCUGAUGCAGCGACGCCGCGUGAGCGAAGAAGUAUUUCGGUAUGUAAAGCUCUAUCAGCAGGGAAGAUAAUGACGGUACCUGACGAAGAAGCACCGGCUAAAUACGUG